RNAcentral lists this long non-coding RNA (641 nucleotides) under Olea europaea subsp. europaea. Lineage: Eukaryota; Viridiplantae; Streptophyta; Magnoliopsida; Lamiales; Oleaceae. The record is from RNAcentral.
UUAUUUUAGAAAAUUACAACAGAACCCCAAUUUCUAAUUGCAAACAGCGGCUUAAAACUUUUCAAAUUACAACAUGACCCCCAUCUCCCUUCUUCAGCCCAAUUUCACAGAUUUUUUUUUUUUUUUUUGCUCGCUGCCGGCGCCGAGAGAAUGCGAGAAGCCACGAUGGGAGACAAUCAUCUAUGCAAAAAAUCGACAGCAAAAAUGGCAGUGAUUCAGUUGCCUCACACAAAUUCAACAACAAUUUAUUUCCCAAUCAACUCAUCAAAAGGAAAAGAAAAAAGAGGAAAGCCGACAACAACAAUAUAUAAAAAGGAGAGAAAGAAUCGAUAGCCUAGUUAAUAGCCAACUCCCCCUUUGCCGGUAGCGAUCUCGUUCCUUCUAUACCAAGCAUAUUAUGCAACACACAAUUCAUCAAUUUCACAUAAUUGCAUUAAAUUAACGUGUGAAAAUGGCAACUUUGGGGCCCAAAUUGGAUCCAAAGCUUCCUAUGUCGACGGUAAGGGACGGGAAAGGUCCAGAAGGCAUUGAUUCUAGUUGGGCUGCAGUGGUAAGGGCCAUAUGGUGAAGAUGGAUUUUGCAGAUUAGGGAAAGGCCAUGGGUGAUUUUUGAUUUCUUUUCUUAUAUUUAUACAAUGAAUG